This 2464-nucleotide unclassified non-coding RNA is filed under the name Leishmania donovani. RNAcentral describes it as "gene:LdHU3.36.6890(CDS-product:Calponin_homology_ (CH)_domain_containing_protein_putative)". Lineage: Eukaryota; Euglenozoa; Kinetoplastea; Trypanosomatida; Trypanosomatidae. The record is from RNAcentral.
CGUACACGUUGUGCGUCAGCUUUUGGGUGACUUGUCUGUGUGCACGCGCCUUCCCCUCUGCCUCCCCCUUCUCUGUAUCUGCAGUGGCUGUCACUCAUGUCGGCAGAGUUCACAGAGCAAGACAAGGAGGACCUCAGGGAGAUCUUUCGCAUCUACGACUUUUCUAAGGUCAACAAGGUUGAUGACUCCGUCGCGCUGGCCCAAAAGGCCGGCCAGACACCCGCCGAGCUGUUCGACGACCUUUAUCAACUCUUUAAGAUCCAGAAACUGCCUCAGCGAGAGACGGUGGCCAGGCGAAUGCGCGAGGCCGUUCUCAACGCCACCGACGCGGAUAUCGAGAGCGUGAUUCGGCAAAGCGAGAUGAAAGGCUUCACUGAGCGCGACGCCCUGCGCUCGCUGGAGCGCAAGUACAGUGUACAGCACCUCAAUAGGCGUGUUCUGCUUGCCUCGCGUGGCAGUCACUCAAGCCCACAGUGCAAGGUCCUCGAGGAGGAUUCAGAGCUGGGGCACGCGGCCGGCUCGCUGCACCACAUCAAGGUGAACGAGACCAGCAUGACGAGCAGCACACCUCCGGCAACCAGUGGCGAUGUGACGGAAAAGGCGUCUGAUUCCUCUCUUAUGUUAGCCCGGCCACCCAGUAAGCUGAGUGGAGCGCCGACGCGUGAGGACCUGGACGAAAUCAUAGCCGAGGAGGUGCGUGAGUGGGUGGCGAAGAUGGUGGGAGACAAGUACAACGCGGAUGUGUGCUCCAUGCCCAACUUUGUUGAUGCCCUGCGCUCUGGUGUCCUGCUGCACGUGCUGCUGCAGAAGAUGGAAAGUCCUCCCAUUUCGGACGAGGACCUGAAGCUACCGAAGCGGACAACCGGCUUCUUUGUUCGCGACAACGUAGCCACAUUCCUGACGACAGCGAAGAGGCGCUACGACCUUGUCGACGCGCAACUCUUCACCGUCUCAGACCUGGUGGACGGCAAGAAUGACCGGCAGGUGGUGACUUGCUUGAUGUCAAUAGCGCGCAUCGCGUACAGCGCUGGCACCAUCAAGGACGCGCCAAACAUUAUCGUGUACGAGCACGAGAUUGAGCAACAGCAGAACCGCCUUACCAGGCUCGAUCUGGACCGCAUCGUGCAAGAGGCGGAGGCCGAUGAGGGCAUGCCCAGCCUCGUCGCCCGCCCCGAUGGCCCGGCGGAAUGGCCGUCGAGCAAGGUGGCCCCUGUGCCCGACACCACAUCGCCGACUGUGCGCUCGUGCGACGAGUGCCACGGCUUCGUCACGCCUCCUACACAGGAAUCACUAGGCGUGUGUGAGAGUGCGUUCACGCAACACGAGUUGGCCGCUCCUGAAGUUACAGUCGAGGGACUCGUGCGCUGCCCUGCCCCAGAUACAGCAGCGGUGUGUGACACGGAUAAGGUGGACGACACGCGUGGCGAAGACACAGCUGCGGCGGCAUCAGCGUCUCCGGCGGGUACGCAUCCGCCGAGCACCGGCGCCAUCGAGUGCGCGGCGGAACCAAACGUGCUGUCGGCACCGACAGAUGUCCGAGAGCACUCCUUGCCAGGAAGCGCGUCUGUGGGGCAAGCGUCACCGACGCGCACUCCGCUUGCCCCCGCCAAAAGCGACGAGGCGCUGGCGGCAGUGGCGCAAAACAUCGCCGUCGCACAACCGACCGAGACGACAGAGGAGACGACUGCGGCCCUGGGGACAGACGUGUCCGAUGCGGCGCCAUCGGGGCGACGCCGCAGUGGUGAGGAGGACAGCGAUGGCGGCGGCCGCGUCUUUUACCUGCGCGAUGGCAUGAUCCAUCCAGCGAAGCCGACGCCGAUCGAGGAAAAAGUGGUUGGUGAGCAUCGCAAGAAGACAGGCCCGCGCGUCGUCUGGAAGAGCACCAGCACACCCUUGGAGGCCACGCAACCGCCGCGCUACCAUAGCAGGCACUGGGACGGUAUCGAUGUCGCGCUGGGUCGUCAUUUGAAUGCGCAUUACGCGAAGCACCGCCAGUCUCCGUGGCGCUUUCGAACUGUCACGGCCACAUCCGGCGAGUACGUGCUGUACAACCGCCUCGAUGCCAGCAGGCGUGUUGUGUUCCUGCGUAUUAUUCAAAAGAGGCUGUUUCUGCGCAAUGCCGGCAAGCACCAGCGGUGGAUUGAGAUCGAUGAGGCCUUAGAGGGACUGGAGAAGUUGGAAGUGUAGUGGUCACGAAUGCGCGCUGUAUGUGAGAGGGAGAAUGGGACGCCAUCAAUGAGCCGGUCUUGCCGUUUAGCUGUAGGGCCAAGCAAGGAGAGAACGCUGUCUCCCCCCCCCCCCCCUGCCACCCACCCUUUUCCUCACCCUGUACUUCACGCGGUCUGAUGUUUUCCCCGCUGCUCUCCUUGUGAGCACCGGCCAGAAGACUCGUCCCUCACAGCUCCCCCCCCCCACCCUCCUCCGCUCUCCCUCUCUCUCCAUGCACUCACCGCGUCUUGUACAG